Molecule: ribosomal RNA, 420 nt
Filed under: uncultured bacterium
Lineage: Bacteria
Description: bacterial SSU rRNA
Rfam family: Bacterial small subunit ribosomal RNA
Source: RNAcentral
AGAAUAAUUCACAAUGGGGGCAACCCUGAUGGUGCAACGCCGCGUGGAGGAUGAAGGUCUUAGGAUUGUAAACUCCUGUCAUCUGGGAGAAAGACCUGGUCGUUAAUAGCGGACAGGGUUGAUAGUACCAGAAGCGGAAGGGACGGCUAACUUCGUGCCAGCAGCCGCGGUAAUACGAAGGUCCCGAGCGUUGUGCGGAAUCACUGGGCGUAAAGGGAGCGUAGGCGGCGCGGUAAGUCAGAUGUGAAAUCCCGGGGCUCAACCCCGGAACUGCAUCCGAUACUGCCGUGCUAGAGCAAUGGAGGGGUAGCUGGAAUUCUCGGUGUAGCAGUGAAAUGCGUAGAUAUCGAGAGGAACACUCGUGGCGAAAGCGAGCUACUGGACAUUUGCUGACGCUGAGGCUCGAAGGCUAGGGGAGCG